This is a long non-coding RNA of Larimichthys crocea (large yellow croaker), 543 nucleotides long. RefSeq lists it as uncharacterized. Lineage: Eukaryota; Metazoa; Chordata; Actinopteri; Sciaenidae. The transcript is spliced from 2 exons. The record is from RefSeq and is a predicted model, not a curated record.
GACCUUUAAAUAACAAACACUGAUGUUGUGAUUGUGUAAUAUUACAGUACAGUAUUUACACGGUGUCUUAAGAAUAAAAUAAAUAAUAAUUUUUUGGUCUCACAGGACAUUAAAAGCAGCACAAGAGAGGGAGCGAUGGCGAGGGCGAGGGGCGUGGAGGCUGAUCAGGAAAACAAUCCAGAUGGUGGCAGAAGGGGUUUGGGUGGAGUAAGGGUGGUGAGUGGACCCGGUGUUCCACAAAAACCUCUUGGGAGUCUGAGAGACUCAUAAAAGGGAAACCAAUUACACACACACAGCAACAGGAAGAAACAAUGUAUAAUGCAUAAGUCAUUAUCUAAAAAAGGGGGACACAAAGGAGCCAAGAACUAAUGGAGAGCAGGACUGGAAGGCUCUUGGCAGGUCAGAACUUCACCACUGAGUCAUUAACCUUCUCUUUAGCUGUCUGACCAGCGCCAGCUACUACCACUGAGGGAAGUUUGUUUGUUGAAGUCCUCUGACCUCGCCGCCCCUGUUUACGCCUCCAAGCUUCCCGGACUUCUUCUU